RNAcentral lists this transfer RNA (68 nucleotides) under Rhynchobatus djiddensis (giant guitarfish). RNAcentral describes it as "tRNA-Cys". It matches the Rfam family "tRNA". Rfam says of the family: Transfer RNA (tRNA) molecules are approximately 80 nucleotides in length. Their secondary structure includes four short double-helical elements and three loops (D, anti-codon, and T loops). Lineage: Eukaryota; Metazoa; Chordata; Chondrichthyes; Rhinopristiformes; Rhynchobatidae. RNAcentral also lists the same sequence under 3 other names. The record is from RNAcentral.
AGUCCUGUAGUAUAAUUAUUACAUAAGAUUGCAAAUCUUGAGACGGAGAUUAGGUUCUCCCGGGGCUU